Molecule: ribosomal RNA, 463 nt
Filed under: Acrocalymma vagum
Lineage: Eukaryota; Fungi; Ascomycota; Dothideomycetes; Pleosporales; Acrocalymmaceae
Description: eukaryotic LSU rRNA
Rfam family: 5.8S ribosomal RNA (bases 106-260)
Source: RNAcentral
UUUAUACGUACCACAUGUUUCCUCGGGGGGCUUGCCCCCCGUUAGGACACCCCAUAAACCUUUUUGUAAUAGCAGUUAGCGUCUGAAAACUAAGUUAAUUAUUAAAACUUUCAACAAUGGAUCUCUUGGUUCUGGCAUCGAUGAAGAANCGCAGCGAAAUGCGAUAAGUAGUGUGAAUUGCAGAAUUCAGUGAAUCAUCGAAUCUUUGAACGCACAUUGCGCCCCUUGGUAUUCCAUGGGGCAUGCCUGUUCGAGCGUCAUUUGAACCCUCAAGCUUUGCUUGGUGUUGGGUGUUUGUCCCGCUCUUGCGCGUGGACUCGCCUUAAAGUCAUUGGCAGCCAUGUAAUUCGGCUUUGAGCGCAGCACAUUGCGAUCUCUCUGCUGGUACAUUGGCAUCCAGAAGCCUUUUUUUUUAAUCUUGACCUCGGAUCAGGUAGGGAUACCCGCUGAACUUAAGCAUAUC